This 1742-nucleotide long non-coding RNA is filed under the name Citrus x clementina. RNAcentral's name for it is "Citrus clementina (C. clementina) long non-coding RNA (CCLE_LNC004206)". The record is from RNAcentral. Lineage: Eukaryota; Viridiplantae; Streptophyta; Magnoliopsida; Sapindales; Rutaceae.
CAGUUACCAUUUAUUUGCAAGACUCACGAGGAAGAGAGGAAGUAAAUGCGAAAAUAUUCAAGUCUUGGGAAUUUUAACAAAAAUUGAGUUUGGGGAACUAUUCCAGAGUAUUUCCAUCCCUAAAUUCAUCUGGAAACAUUCAUUAGAGAGGAAUUUAACUGUAGGAAGCGUAGAGAGAGGAAUCAAGUGAGUGGAAAGUGAUUCAAGCUUUCAAGUUGGGUUUCUCACCAUUUGGAGUAAGAUUUCUAUCAUUUUAUCUUUAUUUGAAUUGGAUUUCUUGGGAAUGAAGCUGAUUUAAAGAUUAUUAUACUUUAUUUAUAAUCAGGGUUUCUGACAAAUUGGCAAAGUUGGUCUCAUGCUAAUUUUUGUAAUUGGUGCUAUUUUAGGUGCACAAGGGCACCAACAAGGCAUUGUAGAGCCGGAGACACGAAGCCCUUGCAAUUUUUCCGAUUCAGUAUAUAAUUAUGUUUAGGUACUUUAUGGUUAGUAAUGAGAUUGUUGAUAAUGUGGAUGAUUUAUUAGUAUUAUAAGAUAUGGAAACUUAAUUAUUGAGGUGGAGGAUGGAAUUUUGAGCAUAAGUUGUAAUUUAUGGCUUUGAGGAUGUUAUAUUAAUUUUCAACUUACAAGUAUGGUUUCAGGAGUUGUAUGUUAUGAGGUAAAUAUUCAUUGCGAGCUAUAUCUCAUAAAGUUAGUUGUAUUUCACACAUUUGGAAAUUAAUUAUGUCAUUUCCAUGAUUUAGGAGGAGCCGUGAACGUGAGUCAAGCCACUGACGUCGACAAUAGUCGAGCUUGACCAUCAUCGUUGUGAGUGGAAUAUACUAAACUUGUCUUUUAUAUUUUUAUUAUGAUAUUAAUUUGAGUAAAAUAAAGUAUUUUUAAAUGUCCUAUUUAAGUUUUUCUAGAAAUAGAAAUUUUAUUUACAUGUUGAUAUGUUUGUUAAAGGUGUAUGUUGAUUGGUUUUCCAUUUUUUCUUACCUAUUUUGAUUAUAAAUUAAUGUGCGAGAGUAUUUUAAUGAAAAGGAAUAUAGAUUUAAAGUAUGUUGAAAAUGUUUAUAUACCUGUACAUAAAAGUUUAUUUUUCAAAAAUAUUAGACAGUGCCUUUCUCUCUAGAUACAAAGAUAAGUGUAGAGAUUCAAUUACAUACAUACAAUUGAGAUAGAGGCCCUUCAUCUGAGCACUAGGAUUUGGGCCAUGUGCGUGGAUGCUUCUGCUCUCUUGGGACUAAUUUAUGCUUGCAGUAUGACGAGAUGAGACAUAUAAGAUGGCACAUCAUUGGUCUACCCGUUAUAGCUUCGGGCAUGAUAGUACACUUUCAGUAUAUUAUUGCACUGCCCGUAGAAGGUUCAGGUAUGACAAGGUUAUUCCUCUAGGUAUUAGUUUCAUGAAAAUUUUAGAAUCAGGUAUCUAAUUAUAUUAUCUUUUGAUAUGAUUUUCAAAAUUAUUAAUUGUAGUAUCAUGUAUUCCUUUUUAAUGCUAAUUGCUUGAUUUAAAGAUUAAAUAGUUUACUUAUGUUCUUACAUAUAGCUCGAUGAAAUUGUAUAUUACAAUAAUAUAAUUAUUCUAAAAUAAGUUUACUUUCAAAACUUAUUAUCCACUCAAUGAACCACUUUAUUAUACUUUUCGCCCUCACAAGAGGUUGUAGGUACACCAGUCGACCGAGCGACUGUAGUUAUUUUGAGUUUUGGCCAUAUGAUAGUGUUAGGAGACAUAGGUGAUAUUAUUAAGGCAUUUUGAUCACCUC